RNAcentral lists this ribosomal RNA (553 nucleotides) under Bacillus inaquosorum. Its description in RNAcentral is "bacterial SSU rRNA". It matches the Rfam family "Bacterial small subunit ribosomal RNA", at positions 65 to 600 of the family's 1533-position model. The record is from RNAcentral. Lineage: Bacteria; Bacillati; Bacillota; Bacilli; Caryophanales; Bacillaceae.
AGCGGACAGAUGGGAGCUUGCUCCCUGAUGUUAGCGGCGGACGGGUGAGUAACACGUGGGUAACCUGCCUGUAAGACUGGGAUAACUCCGGGAAACCGGGGCUAAUACCGGAUGGUUGUUUGAACCGCAUGGUUCAAACAUAAAAGGUGGCUUCGGCUACCACUUACAGAUGGACCCGCGGCGCAUUAGCUAGUUGGUGAGGUAACGGCUCACCAAGGCAACGAUGCGUAGCCGACCUGAGAGGGUGAUCGGCCACACUGGGACUGAGACACGGCCCAGACUCCUACGGGAGGCAGCAGUAGGGAAUCUUCCGCAAUGGACGAAAGUCUGACGGAGCAACGCCGCGUGAGUGAUGAAGGUUUUCGGAUCGUAAAGCUCUGUUGUUAGGGAAGAACAAGUACCGUUCGAAUAGGGCGGUACCUUGACGGUACCUAACCAGAAAGCCACGGCUAACUACGUGCCAGCAGCCGCGGUAAUACGUAGGUGGCAAGCGUUGUCCGGAAUUAUUGGGCGUAAAGGGCUCGCAGGCGGUUUCUUAAGUCUGAUGUGAAAG